This 468-nucleotide ribosomal RNA is filed under the name uncultured bacterium. Its description in RNAcentral is "partial 16S ribosomal RNA". It matches the Rfam family "Bacterial small subunit ribosomal RNA", at positions 28 to 507 of the family's 1533-position model. The record is from RNAcentral.
GACGAACGCUGGCGGCGUGCUUAACACAUGCAAGUCGAACGGAAAGGCCCUGCUUUUGUGGGGUGCUCGAGUGGCGAACGGGUGAGUAACACGUGAGUAACCUGCCCUUGACUUUGGGAUAACUUCAGGAAACUGGGGCUAAUACCGGAUAGGAGCUCCUGCUGCAUGGUGGGGGUUGGAAAGUUUCGGCGGUUGGGGAUGGACUCGCGGCUUAUCAGCUUGUUGGUGGGGUAGUGGCUUACCAAGGCUUUGACGGGUAGCCGGCCUGAGAGGGUGACCGGCGACAAUGGGACUGAGAUACGGCCCAGACUCCUACGGGAGGCAGCAGUGGGGAAUAUUGCACAAUGGGCGGAAGCCUGAUGCAGCAACGCCGCGUGCGGGAUGACGGCCUUCGGGUUGUAAACCGAUUUCGCCUGUGACGAAGCGUGAGUGACGGUAAUGGGUAAAGAAGCACCGGCUAACUACGUG